UACAGAGGCCACGAGCGUUAGGCGGAAUCACUGGGCUUAAAGCGUGUGUAGGUGGAUGGCUAAGUACCUUGUGAAAUCCCACGGCUCAACCGUGGAACUGCUUGGUAUACUGGUCGUCUUGAGGCACUCAGGGGCGAGCGGAACAGAUGGUGGAGCGGUGAAAUGCGUAGAUAUCAUCUGGAACGCCAAUGGUGAAGACAGCUCGCUGGGGUGUACUGACACUGAGACACGAAAGCCAGGGAGCAAACGGG
This 251-nucleotide ribosomal RNA is filed under the name uncultured bacterium. RNAcentral's name for it is "partial 16S ribosomal RNA". It matches the Rfam family "Bacterial small subunit ribosomal RNA", at positions 524 to 776 of the family's 1533-position model. The record is from RNAcentral.